UACGGAGGGUGCAAGCGUUGUCCGGAUUUAUUGGGUUUAAAGGGUACGUAGGCGGUCUUUUAAGUCUGUGGUGAAAGCCCACCGCUCAACGGUGGAACUGCCAUGGAUACUGGAAGACUUGAGUGCCGUAGAGGUAAGCGGAAUUGAUGGUGUAGCGGUGAAAUGCAUAGAUACCAUCAAGAACACCAAUAGUGAAGACAGCUUACUGGACGGUCACUGACGCUGAGGUACGAAAGCGUGGGUAGCGAAC
This 250-nucleotide ribosomal RNA is filed under the name uncultured bacterium. Its description in RNAcentral is "partial 16S ribosomal RNA". It matches the Rfam family "Bacterial small subunit ribosomal RNA", at positions 524 to 773 of the family's 1533-position model. The record is from RNAcentral.